UCCAUAAUGCCGCCGUUGCUUGGUCCCAAGCCCAAGAUGCAAAAGGCAGAGGGUGGU
This 57-nucleotide non-coding RNA is filed under the name unclassified sequences. The record is from RNAcentral.